GACGAACGCUGGCGGCGUGCUUAACACAUGCAAGUCGAACGCUGAAGCUUGGUGCUUGCACUGGGUGGAUGAGUGGCGAACGGGUGAGUAAUAAGUGAGUAACCUGCCCUUGACUCUGGGAUAAGCCUGGGAAACUGGGUCUAAUACUGGAUACGACAUGUCACCGCAUGGUGGUGUGUGGAAAGGGUUUUACUGGUUUUGGAUGGGCUCACGGCCUAUCAGCUUGUUGGUGGGGUAAUGGCUCACCAAGGCGACGACGGGUAGCCGGCCUGAGAGGGUGACCGGCCACACUGGGACUGAGACACGGCCCAGACUCCUACGGGAGGCAGCAGUGGGGAAUAUUGCACAAUGGGCGGAAGCCUGAUGCAGCGACGCCGCGUGAGGGAUGACGGCCUUCGGGUUGUAAACCUCUUUCAGCACGGAAGAAGCGAAAGUGACGGUACGUGCAGAAGAAGCGCCAGCUAACUACGUG
Molecule: ribosomal RNA, 472 nt
Filed under: uncultured bacterium
Lineage: Bacteria
Description: partial 16S ribosomal RNA
Rfam family: Bacterial small subunit ribosomal RNA
Source: RNAcentral